RNAcentral lists this transfer RNA (84 nucleotides) under Sebaldella termitidis ATCC 33386. It matches the Rfam family "tRNA". Rfam says of the family: Transfer RNA (tRNA) molecules are approximately 80 nucleotides in length. Their secondary structure includes four short double-helical elements and three loops (D, anti-codon, and T loops). Lineage: Bacteria; Fusobacteriati; Fusobacteriota; Fusobacteriia; Fusobacteriales; Leptotrichiaceae. The record is from Rfam by way of RNAcentral.
GCGAAAGUGGUGAAAUGGUAGACACGCAAGGUUGAGGGCCUUGUGGCCGAUAAGGCUGUACGGGUUCAAGUCCCGUCUUUCGCA